Molecule: small RNA, 540 nt
Filed under: Pongo abelii (Sumatran orangutan)
Lineage: Eukaryota; Metazoa; Chordata; Mammalia; Primates; Hominidae
Description: processed transcript
Source: RNAcentral
AACAUUUGCAUGAGUUGUUUGAAUAAUCACGUUGCUGACAAGGCUGUAAUUAACAGAAAUUGAUGCUGAGUUCAGUAUUUGAUAGUGUGUUUUCUCAGCAUUUUAUUGUUGUCACUGCGGGGGCUGAAAUGAAGUUCUGCUCUACUUGUACCUUGACUGGAAUUUGAUGUGCAGGGCUGUGCCAGGAAAAACAUCAGAGAGAGGCUCAUUUUCCCUGUACAGCAGAGAUACUGGAUUACCAGGCUGUCAAUCUAGUCUCCUGAGACAAGAUCUGGGGCUUGGGAGCCCAGCACAGCUAUCUUCUUCAGGAAAACCUGGAACAGCAUACUAUUCAUUCUCUGCUACUAGUUCCAGGAGGAGACCACUCCAUGACUCUGCAGCGCUUGAUCCCUUGCAAGCAAAAAAAGUCAGAAAGGUGCCUCCUGGUUUGCCUUCUUCUGUAUAUGCACCAUCCCCAAAUUCAGAUGAUUUCAACCGUGAAUCUCCUAGUUAUCCAUCUCCUAAGCCACCAACCAGUAUGUUCGCUAGCACUUUCUUUAU